GUCAUCCUUUCGAAAUUACGGUCAUCAUUUCACCAAUCACGGUCAUCCUUAUUAUAUGUUACGGUCAUCUUGAAAAUAUUUUAAAGAUGAUUUACGGUCAUCUUAGCGAAUUUUUCAAAUCCAAUUUCCCGUUCUAUACACGUUCCUCGGUAGAGAUUUGUGACUUCCGUGUGAAUCUUUUAUAAAUUAACAUCGUACCAAUGUAUGCUUUGUGAAGAAAAUGAUGUAGAAACACCUUAACAGACAAUACAAAUACAGUUCAAGUGAUGCACGUAACAUUAAAAGAUCAAAGAGGCCUUCUGUUCAUCUGAUUGCAGGCGUACAACCAAUAACAGGUGGUCGUAAGUGUUUGUCAUUUAAAGACAUGUCAAUAAAGCAUAAACGUGGAAUUUCAAUCUUGUAGCUAUGUUUCUACGUCGGAACUAAAGACAUUUAUUCUAAAAACAGUUGUUGGCAUGACACGGGUUAUGUUCUUCUCAUAUAUGUUAUGAUGGUAUGUUACUAAACCCCUAACGGAAAGGAUUGUGCCUGAUGUUCAUAUGAUGAAAUCAUAAUCUUUCAGUCAGUUUAAUUGAAGUCUGGAGCUGGCAUGUCAGUUAACUGUUAGUAGUCUGUUGUUAUUUAUGUAUUAUUGUCAUUUUGUUUAUUUUCUUUGGUUACAUCUUCUGACAUCAGACUCGGACUUCUCUUGAACUGAAUUUUAAUGUGCGUAUUGUUAUGCAUGCGUUUAUUUUUCUACAUUGGUUAGAGGUAUAGGGGUAGGGUUGAGAUCUCACAAACAUGUUUAACCCCGCCGCAUUUUUGCGCCUGUCCCAAGUCAGGAGCCUCUGGCCUUUGUUAGUCUUGUAUUAUUUUUAUAUUAGUUUCUUGUGUACAAUUUGGAAAUUAGUAUGGCGUUCAUUAUCACUGAACUAGUAUAUAUUAGUUUAGGGGCCAGCUGAAGGACGCCUCCGGGUGCGGGAAUUUCUCGCUACAUUGAAGACCUGUUGGUGACCUUCUGCUGUUGUUUUUUAUUUGGUCGGGUUGUUGUCUCUUUGACACAUUCCCCAUUUCCAUUCUCAAUUUUAUUCUAUUUAAUAACUUUAAAUUAUAAAUUAAAAUUAUAAAUAAAAAAAAAUCGAAUCGCGUUUCUGUCAUACUCAUCAAGGGGAACUAUCAUAGGGGUUAUUAUAUGUAUGAAUACACCAGAUGAUGUACAUUCAAAAGACAUCCAACAUUUGUUGAAAACCUGCUUAGGGUUGAUUUUGCCUAUUUAAUCUUAUACAUUUUUGUCAACAAAAAGCGUUUCAUUAAAACAUGCAUUUUUUGUUUACAAAACUGGAUUAUAUCAAACUGACAAUACUCACCCCGUUAUAUUAGUAAAACAAAAUAAAUCAAAAAGAUUAACAAAACAUUGAUGUGUAGGUAUCUAUACUACAAAUAUAUCGAGGAACAAUGAGCCGGUAUGACGUAAAACGACGAAUAAAAGAAUGCAACUUUACAUAUAAUUAUUAAACGGCCUUGGUGACCGAGUGGUCUAAUUGAUUACUACUGCCAUCACUAGCCAGUCAAGUCAACACUGAGGUUUUGAGUAAACCCCGCUUUUGCGGGUGCACUCGACUCCAACGUAAAUUGACUAGGAUGGUCAGUUUUCAUAUCGAAGGUCGGUGGUUUUCUCCUGGCACUCCGGCUUCCUCCUCCACUAAUAAAAACUUGUUACCAAACACAGAAAAUUAUAGAUCAUAUACAUUGCAACUAAUAAAGGACAAUUGUUUUGUAAAACAAUUUAAUCAUUCCAGGCUCUUAUGUUUUCCCAAUGAAUAAUAUCACCAAUAAGUAAUGAGUUCCAGGUGAAAUGCUAUACCGAUAUCAAUAUUAUAUAUCAUAUGUAAUUUCCGGUUGUUGUUACCUAUUACUCUAAAUCCCUCCUCGAUUAGGUGAAUUUAAUUUUUUUUCAGAAGAUGUUUUAUAUCUAUGUUACACUAUAGUACAAUAAUUACAUUAGAUGUAUGUGUCAUUAUGAUACUUAAAUCUGAUAGGCUAACUGCACAUUACGUGUUAUUCCUUAAGCAUUUGCAUCAUUCAAUAAAACGUUUCAUUCAUGAUAACACGUGGUCCCACAAUAAAGUGCACAGGUGAGUUAAAUAAAAAAAAUUAUAAAAUUCGUGUUUUCAUGAUCAUAUCUAAUUAAUGUAAUUAUAAGUAUUGAAUGCUUCUUGUUGUAACUUCAUAGGGUUGUAAAAGCGCUUCAUACAAAAUGUACUUCGGUCAACGCUUUUACACCCCAAUGAAGUUACAAAAAGAAGCAUUCAAUUCUUAAAUAAUUAGCAAGCCGCUUAAUUAGUUAAAAACAAAUUAUUUGAUAGCGAGUUUUUGUUGUCAGAAAAUUAAACCAGUACGAAUUCAAAAAAGUAAAAUCACAAAAAUACAGAAUUUUGAGUAAAAUUCAAGACGUGAAGUCUUUCAGGAAAUAGACUUUGAAGAGUUGUAAGCAGGGAAGCUGUGCACCUCGCAAUUAACAUGACCGUAUCAGAUGACAAUACGAAAACUAAAAAUGCAGGCUAAAAAUAAUACAUAUGUGCUUAAAUUAAGACAAAUAUCUCGAUACCACGGAUCCGCGAUGUCGCCAGUGUGUUCUAGUUAUGCAUACAACAGAAUUCAAUUUUUUUCAAUUUAAGAGUCUCAUGUUUAGAACAUGACUGUAUGAAUUGUAAUUGAGUUUGUAAAUGUCAUUCUCUUCAGAUGAAGUAUGUCACACCACAACUUAUUUGACAUUACAUGGACUUUGGCCAUUAAUAAAUUUAAUGUUUUAUUUAUUUACAGAUAAAUCUCCAUUUACAGUUGGUAACUGGGUUUCGCAGGGACCUACAUCUCACACAAAUGACAUUCUUGUCGACGACAGCCGAAUUUUCAUCAACACAUCGGGUCUUUAUUUUGUAUACAGCCAGAUAUUUUUCAGUGAUCUUUAUAAAGGUCAAGCACUAUCAAACAAAUCACACACUUUCUACCAUUAUGUUUAUCGGUUCAACCAUAUUUAUCCAAACGAUGGCCAAGAGCUGCUCCUAAAAAGUGUUCGCACAGAAUGUUGGGCAAAAAGUAAAUUCUUUGGUGAUUACACAAGUUACACUGCUGGAGUUUUUAGGCUCAAUGUGGGUGAUCAAAUUUUCGUAAAGGUAUCUCAAAUCAGAUUGAUGUC
Molecule: long non-coding RNA, 3175 nt
Filed under: Mytilus galloprovincialis (Mediterranean mussel)
Lineage: Eukaryota; Metazoa; Mollusca; Bivalvia; Mytilida; Mytilidae
Source: RNAcentral